RNAcentral lists this ribosomal RNA (460 nucleotides) under uncultured bacterium. RNAcentral describes it as "partial 16S ribosomal RNA". It matches the Rfam family "Bacterial small subunit ribosomal RNA", at positions 338 to 795 of the family's 1533-position model. The record is from RNAcentral.
CCUACGGGAGGCAGCAGUGAGGAAUAUUGGUCAAUGGGCGCGAGCCUGAACCAGCCAAGUAGCGUGAAGGAUGACUGCCCUACGGGUUGUAAACUUCUUUUAUAAAGGAAUAAAGUAAGGUAUACGUGCCUUUUUGUAUGUACCUUAUGAAUAAGGAUCGGCUAACUCCGUGCCAGCAGCCGCGGUAAUACGGAGGAUCCGAGCGUUAUCCGGAUUUAUGGGGUGUAAAGGGAGCGUAGAUGGGUUGUUAAGUCAGUUGUGAAAGUUUGCGGCUCAACCGUAAAAUUGCAUUUGAUACUGGCAGCCUUGAGUACAGUUGAGGUAGGCGGAAUUCGUGGUGUAGCGGUGAAAUGCUUAGAUAUCACGAAGAACACCGAUGGCGAAGGCAGCCUACGAGACUGCCACUGACGGUGAGGCUCGAAAGCGUGGGUAUCAAACAGGAUUAGAUACCCCUGUAGUC